This 433-nucleotide ribosomal RNA is filed under the name uncultured bacterium. RNAcentral describes it as "partial 16S ribosomal RNA". It matches the Rfam family "Bacterial small subunit ribosomal RNA", at positions 29 to 507 of the family's 1533-position model. The record is from RNAcentral.
AACGAACGCUGGCGGCAUGCCUAACACAUGCAAGUCGAACGAAGUCUUCGGACUUAGUGGCGCACGGGUGCGUAACGCGUGGGAAUCUGCCCUUGGGUACGGAAUAACUCAGAGAAAUUUGUGCUAAUACCGUAUAAUGUCUUCGGACCAAAGAUUUAUCGCCCAAGGAUGAGCCCGCGUAAGAUUCGCUAGUUGGUGGGGUAAAAGCCUACCAAGGCGACGAUCUUUAGCUGGUCUGAGAGGAUGAUCAGCCACACUGGGACUGAGACACGGCCCAGACUCCUACGGGAGGCAGCAGUGGGGAAUAUUGGACAAUGGGCGAAAGCCUGAUCCAGCAAUGCCGCGUGAGUGAUGAAGGCCCUAGGGUUGUAAAGCUCUUUUACCAGGGAUGAUAAUGACAGUACCUGGAGAAUAAGCUCCGGCUAACUCCGUG